AUGUCAGCUCAGCUGGGUUGGAUUCUUUUGGAAGCUACAUUGUUCCUCAGGGAGAGCUGCGUGCAGGUGAUGAGAAAGGAACCAAUUGAACCAAACUUACUUUUUCUCUUCUGGCACUCAGAUGAUUUUUAUUUUGGGGAAAGACUAAUCCAAGGUGGGUCCAAUUGGAGUGGCUGCUCCUCUAGGAUUCUGGGAGAUGAAGACGGGUGGAGAGAGUGAGAACCCAUGUGGAAGAGUAGAUGGUGGCAGAUGGGACAAGGAAGCAAGCUGGCCAAACUUCUGGGGACUGGAAGAGAAGAUGGGUGGACAGGACCUUGGCACGGACCUGACACAUGGCCCCUGGGGCUUCAUGGCUAAUAAGACUGGCUGCAUUCCCCUCCACUGAGGUAAGCAAAUUAGUUCUCUUCUAUUCGCCUUUGGAAAAAAGAACUCUCACUCUUACCAUUUUACAGAUGGAAAACAAGGCUUGAGAAGUAUCAAGAAUUUUUAGGAGAGCCAAAAAGAGCUGCACUUUGCUGCAAGGCCUUCUGCUUUGGGCCACACCGUUCUGUCUGAAACCAGAGAAGCGUGCUGGCCUGGCAAGGCCGGUUUGACCCAGGAGGUCUCUGGAGGCUUAGCCGGGGGGUCUGACACCUUACGGGGCCGUGAGGCCAGCCUGCAGGCCUUCAGUGUGUGGUCACUCCGUGAAGUUAUAACUGUUCUUUAUCCCCUGUUCAGGCACAGGAGAAGACAUUCUGACCCCAAGUGUGUCUUGUCAGAUCCCAGCUGUACCAGGUGGGCCCUCCAGCAAGAAGUCGCAGCUCAGCACUGCUAGUCAUACCCAAAUUUGGGGAUUUUGCUUUGGAAAGAAGCAUGGGAGGCAACGACUACAGCAGACUUCACAAAACCUUUCCUCGGAACACCUGUGCGGCAGCCAGCAUGGAAGUACCCAGAAAAACCGCUCGGACCUUGGCUUCAGGGGAACAAUUUACACAGUGAUUUGCAUUUUUAAAACGCUCCAGUUACUCGAUACAAAUGUGUCUUAACUACAGACUCAUUUUCAAAUUUUACAUAAAUCCUGAACUAGUUAAAAAAUCAUAAAACCCCUUCAAGCAGCAGUCAGUAGACUGUCCAGUGACGGCAGGAAAUGAGCUGUAUUGUUGAGGAACAGAUGGUUUACAUUAUACAAACCCUUUAGGCUAAACUUGUUUAGGUCUGGCAUAUUGUAAAUUAUAUUUUAGUAAUGAAAGUGAAAUGACCUCGGCUUGACCUCAAGUGGGGUUUGUCUGUUUGAACCAAUGUAGUGGAAAACUAUGAAAGAAAAUGAAGUCAUAAAGUUUUGGCAGUUCAAUUUUGGCUCAUUUCAAGUUAAGGGGUUAUAAAUCUGUUUAGUUUUUGUUUGACAAGUAUUUGUCAUACAGGGAUGUACAAAAUGUAAAGAAGUGUAAAAUACACAUGAGGCGUGGUGCCAAAGUAAACGAAGUACAAAGGAAAACUGGAAUGAAUAGGGUCCUGGGCUCCUAUCUCUUUAUCACUCCCUCCAUUAGCUGAAUGACAAGAUGGGCUCCGUUUAGGGUAUGCUGUAAGGCAAUUAAGUACCUUAAAACCGAAACAGGCUUUCAGUUUAAAUGUUAACAUUUUUACUUCUCAAAGUAAACACACAUCUGCCUCAGUGAGGUUUUAAAAAUUAUAUAAUUUGGGGGCAGGGAGAAAAAUCAGAGUUGAUAUGGAAGUUGAUACGUGAUUCUAAACUCCAAAUCUGCCUCUUCCCUUAGACAGUUUUGAAGAGCAACUGUAUUAGAGUUUACGUGAACUCUUCACAGAAGGAAAAUGAAGGGAGAACAUUGUAGAUGACGGUCACUUCGCUGGGAGUCAGAUGUGGCUAUUGUCGUCCGCUGUCUACGCUGCUGAUGGAGGCCAGGCGGAUGCUGGUGGCUUCCUUCACCUGAGACACAUUACUACAUGGGGACAUGGGAUCCUUUUAGCUCUAUUAUCUUUAGAUAUGAAAGCAAGGGACCAUGAGUGGAGUUGUUUUUUGUUUGUUUGUUUGUUUGUUUUAAAUUGUCAUGAGGUAGAGGCAGUUGGAUAAGGAGGACAGACUCAAUGACUUUAUCUCCUUCCACCUUUGGGAAGUUAUACCUUAGGUGAAAAUCUAUUUGAAAUGAUUCCUCUGGGUGACAUAGCUCACAGCUAACCUGCCAUUUCCUGCUCGCUUGACAGAAGGGACUGCUGUAGGAGAGGAGGUAAAGAUAUUGUGAUGGCUCGCAUUUGUGUGCAGCAUGGAUCCAUCGAUUUGUGACUUUUUGCUUCUAACCUGAGCAGGGUAUGAAUGCCUACGUUCGAGCCCCACUUAAAGUUGGGCACCACGAAAAAGUUGAGUGACAUGAGGUGGAGGGGAACAGAUCCCAGGGUGGUUCCCCCAGACAGGAAGGUGGCUCCAACAGCA
This is a long non-coding RNA of Mustela putorius furo (domestic ferret), 2425 nucleotides long. The record is from Ensembl. NCBI's taxonomy places the organism in Eukaryota, Metazoa, Chordata, Mammalia, Carnivora, Mustelidae.